Molecule: transfer RNA, 72 nt
Filed under: Ovis aries (sheep)
Lineage: Eukaryota; Metazoa; Chordata; Mammalia; Artiodactyla; Bovidae
Rfam family: tRNA
About the family: Transfer RNA (tRNA) molecules are approximately 80 nucleotides in length. Their secondary structure includes four short double-helical elements and three loops (D, anti-codon, and T loops). Further hydrogen bonds mediate the characteristic L-shaped molecular structure. tRNAs have two regions of fundamental functional importance: the anti-codon, which is responsible for specific mRNA codon recognition, and the 3' end, to which the tRNAs corresponding amino acid is attached (by aminoacyl-tRNA synthetases). tRNAs cope with the degeneracy of the genetic code in two manners: having more than one tRNA (with a specific anti-codon) for a particular amino acid; and 'wobble' base-pairing, i.e. permitting non-standard base-pairing at the 3rd anti-codon position.
Source: Rfam by way of RNAcentral
UCCCUUGUGGCUCAGCUGGUAAAGAAUCCACCUGCAAUGCAGGAGACCUGGGUUCGAACCCUAGCUUGGGAA